Molecule: ribosomal RNA, 216 nt
Filed under: uncultured bacterium
Lineage: Bacteria
Description: partial 16S ribosomal RNA
Rfam family: Bacterial small subunit ribosomal RNA
Source: RNAcentral
UAACGGCUUACCAAGGCGACGAUCAGUAGCCGACCUGAGAGGGUGAUCGGCCACAUUGGAACUGAGACACGGUCCAAACUCCUACGGGAGGCAGCAGUGGGGAAUAUUGCACAAUGGGCGAAAGCCUGAUGCAGCAACGCCGCGUGAGCGAUGAAGGCCUUCGGGUCGUAAAGCUCUGUCCUCAAGGAAGAUAAUGACGGUACUGAGGAGAAGCCC